ACUGAUUUACGGCUACAGCACGAGGAUUUUGGAGGAAUGGAUUUUAAUCAUAUGUUUUAUAUUUUUCUAUUGCUUAAUUGUUUUAUUGGAUUUUCAUUGCUGUUUUAAUUAUGUGCAGGCAUUGAAUUGUUGCCAAUUUGUACGCCGCCCUGAGUCCCUUCGGGUGAGAAGGGCGGGAUAUAAAUGUUGCAAAUAAAUAAAUAAAUACAAUACACACAGAUACCCAGUACCUGCCUUGUGCUUUCUGGUAAUAAAACCUGAGGUAGCACUACGCCAUGUAGCAGUUGUACAGAGACUUGGGAGAGACCACCAAGGUCAUGACUACUCAUAUUUAGAAUUUUAAACAGACUUUGAAUGUGCUAACAAAGGUUAGAAAUAUAUCUUGUUGCAUUUCCAACUCAUGGCUAUGCUAAAGUGGACCCAUUUUUUUUUUUUUGCAAGAUUUGUUCAGAGAGGGUUUGUCUUUGUUUUCCUCUGAGGCUGAGGGCGUGUGACUUACCCAAGUCACCCAGUGGGUCUCUGCAGUCAAAAAGGAAGUCAAACUCUUGUCUCCAGAGUCAGAGUCCAGGUCUUAAAACCACUAUCCCCUAGAGCAGUGGUUCUCAACCUAUGGGUCUCCAGAUGUUUUAGCCUUCAACUCCCAGAAAUCCUAACAGCUGGUAAACCAGCUGGGAUUUCUGUGAGUUGUAGGUGAAAGCACCUGGGGACACAGAUUGAGAACCACUGCCCUAGAGAUUUUUCAUUCUGCACUAUUUUUAAUUGUGUCUGAAACGAUUUGAGAACAUGCUGCAAGUUGCUACUCGUGUAAGAGAAUUGGCCGUUUACAGAGAUGUCUCCAAAAACUAGAGCUGACAGACAGGAGCUCACCCUGUCUCGCGGAUUUGAACCGGCAACCUUCAAGUCAACAACCCAACCUUCAGGUCAGCAGUUCAGCCAGCACCCAUUGUGCCAUCACGGCUCCUAUUACAGCACUAUGUCCCACUUUAACUACCGUGGUUGCUGCAUCCUAUGGAAUGUUAGGGUUUGUAGUCUACAGCUCUCUAGCACCGAAUUUGAACCUGCCUUUUCCUAAACUGCAAAUGACACAACUGCAGCGGAUGAAUGGA
Molecule: long non-coding RNA, 1106 nt
Filed under: Anolis carolinensis (green anole)
Lineage: Eukaryota; Metazoa; Chordata; Lepidosauria; Squamata; Anolidae
Description: lncRNA (ENSACAG00000037490.1)
Source: RNAcentral